This 450-nucleotide ribosomal RNA is filed under the name uncultured bacterium. RNAcentral describes it as "bacterial SSU rRNA". It matches the Rfam family "Bacterial small subunit ribosomal RNA", at positions 29 to 524 of the family's 1533-position model. The record is from RNAcentral.
AACGAACGCUGGCGGCAGGCCUAACACAUGCAAGUCGAACGCUGUAGCAAUACAGAGUGGCAGACGGGUGAGUAACGCGUGGGAACCUUCCCAGUGGUGCGGAAUAGCUCAGGGAAACUUGAGGUAAUACCGCAUAAGCCCCUAGGGGGAAAGAUUUAUCGCCAUUGGAUGGGCCCGCGUCGGAUUAGCUAGUUGGUGAGGUAAUGGCUCACCAAGGCAACGAUCCGUAGCNGGUUUGAGAGAAUGACCAGCCACACUGGGACUGAGACACGGCCCAGACUCCUACGGGAGGCAGCAGUGGGGAAUCUUGGACAAUGGGCGCAAGCCUGAUCCAGCCAUGCCGCGUGAGUGACGAAGGCCUUAGGGUUGUAAAGCUCUUUUGCCGGGGACGAUAAUGACGGUACCCGGAGAAUAAGUCCCGGCUAACUUCGUGCCAGCCGCCGCCGUAAU